AUUGAGCGCUGGCGGCAGGCCUAACACAUGCAAGUCGAGCGGAUGAAGGUAGCUUGCUACCUGAUUCAGCGGCGGACGGGUGAGUAAUGCCUAGGAAUCUGCCUGGUAGUGGGGGACAACGUUUCGAAAGGAACGCUAAUACCGCAUACGUCCUACGGGAGAAAGUGGGGGAUCUUCGGACCUCACGCUAUCAGAUGAGCCUAGGUACGAUUAGCUAGUUGGUGAGGUAAAGGCUCACCAAGGCGACGAUCGUUAACUGGUCUGAGAGGAUGAUCAGUCACACUGGAACUGAGACACGGUCCAGACUCCUACGGGAGGCAGCAGUUGGGAAUAUUGGACAAUGGGCGAAAGCCUGAUCCAGCCAUGCCGCGUGUGUGAAGAAGGUCUUCGGAUUGUAAAGCACUUUAAGUUGGGAGGAAGGGCAGUAAGUUAAUACCUUGCUGUUUUGACGUUACCGACAGAAUAAGCACCGGCUAACUUCGUGCCAGCCGCCGCCGUAA
RNAcentral lists this ribosomal RNA (500 nucleotides) under uncultured bacterium. Its description in RNAcentral is "partial 16S ribosomal RNA". It matches the Rfam family "Bacterial small subunit ribosomal RNA", at positions 30 to 523 of the family's 1533-position model. The record is from RNAcentral.